CAGUAGCCGCGGUAAUACAGAGGGUGCAAGCGUUAAUCGGAAUUACUGGGCGUAAAGCGCGCGUAGGUGGUUUGUUAAGUUGGAUGUGAAAUCCCCGGGCUCAACCUGGGAACUGCAUCCAAAACUGGCAAGCUAGAGUAUGGUAGAGGGUGGUGGAAUUUCCUGUGUAGCGGUGAAAUGCGUAGAUAUAGGAAGGAACACCAGUGGCAAAGGCGACCACCUGGACUGAUACUGACACUGAGGUGCGAAAGCGUGGGGAGCAAACAGGAUUAGAUACCCCGGUAGUCCCUGUCUCUUAUAC
RNAcentral lists this ribosomal RNA (301 nucleotides) under uncultured bacterium. RNAcentral describes it as "partial 16S ribosomal RNA". It matches the Rfam family "Bacterial small subunit ribosomal RNA", at positions 509 to 807 of the family's 1533-position model. The record is from RNAcentral.